UCGAAGGGGUCAUUAUUUUCUUGACCUGUGUCGAGAGCCUUCUUAGAGACCGGGGAUGUUUGAUAGAAACUUUCCGUCUUUGUUGAGACGAGGUUCCCUAGGUCUUUGGUGUGGUUUGUUUUUCAUCUGUUGUCGAUGUAAUUCGUCACUUUCCUUUUUAAUUUUCCUCCUCUUUUCCGAGUGAGGGUCCUCCCCUUGCUUUUUGUGGGGUCGCGUAGAAGUGUGGAGGUGCCAUUGAGGGGACUUUUCCCUUUAUCCAAUUUUGUUGGACAGUCGGGUUUUUGUCAUCGUCAGAACGAGGUUCUCCUUCUGUUCU
Molecule: long non-coding RNA, 316 nt
Filed under: Elaeis guineensis (African oil palm)
Lineage: Eukaryota; Viridiplantae; Streptophyta; Magnoliopsida; Arecales; Arecaceae
Description: long non-coding RNA (EGUI_LNC048016)
Source: RNAcentral